This 3303-nucleotide long non-coding RNA is filed under the name Hermetia illucens (black soldier fly). RNAcentral describes it as "uncharacterized LOC119649672, transcript variant X1". The record is from RNAcentral. Lineage: Eukaryota; Metazoa; Arthropoda; Insecta; Diptera; Stratiomyidae.
ACUGGUAGCACAGCCCGGUUCCAUCACCUGAGACCAAAGGUGUCCAAAGCUUAAUAUGAAAUGUUCUCUGUAAGCCAGUCGGCACGUUGGGUUCGGCCUUCAAGCUUCAUGUUCCAGUCGAUUUUGAUACAUCGAGCUUUUGCGUCUGCUUUGUUUAUUUUCGAGUCAUUAAGUGUAUUUUUUCGGCAGUUAAUGGUGACUGAGAAAAAGACAACGACGGAAAUAUGAUGAAGCGCAAGAUUGUGGACAUAGCGUAAUUGGUGAAGCCUCUCACACAGAGGUUAGAUCGCGUGAGUUUUGAGUGUUUCCUUUGAAUAGUUCCAAUAACCUUCUAACCGCUCUAACCGCCAGCUGGAUGAGUGACAUCGCGGAUUCUUCAGCGAUGCCUAUUCUAAUGUCGAGAUUGACGGCUAUGUCUAAUUAUGCUUGCGGCUAGUAUUACGAAGUUGUAGAAUGUGUGUCCAGUGCGCGUCUGAACAGAGACGAGAAGAUUGAUUGACUCUGCAACAAAGUAAUGGGCGCAAUUGAACAAAGAUGCUGACAAUCAUUCUGUAGAAAAUCGAAAAGACUCAGUGGCAGUAAUUCGAAAGAUAUUCAAUUAGAAAAAUUACCAUAAUUGGUUUUCUAUAUGGCGGUGAUGCAUAUAAUAAGCGCAUAUAUUUAACGAUUUCCUCCUCACAGAAAGAUUUUCAAAAGCAAUUUACAGUGAAAAAUUUCCAAUUCCUCCUUGUUCCUUAAAGAUUUAUUUUUUUUAAGAAUACAGGCUCAAUAUCAACCAGGACGUUCUUUACGAGUGAGCUCGUUACAUAAAUGUUUGGAUUGGGGAACAACAUUUACCCACUUUCCUUUUCGUGCCAAACUGUUAACUUCAGUCCUAAUAGGGAAACCACUUACAUAGGAAAAUAUGGCAAGAGAUAGCUGCAGAAUGAAAAUCGGUACUCCAGUAGUAAAAUAAAUAAAAUAUAACAAUGGUUGUAAUGCCUUUGAUAAAGACGCAACACUCAUUAAAUGUCAAAUAUCAAAUGUACAAUGCAAUUCUAACCAAAUACCAUUGACUUCAAGCCCAUAGAUAUUAGAUCAAUUAAAGAUGUUGACUACUACUACAACCACUGUCUGAUUAAAAUCACAUACAGGUUUCAGGACAUAUGGAAUAAAUGCCUAUCCAAUUUGAGAAUUUCACAUAGAAAUCCUGAAAAACGACAUUGCAGCUAAGCAGUGCAGAGCGGUGCUUGAGGGAGACCAUUCCCAUACCGCAAACCAACUCGAAUCGGCUAAUAUUCCAGCUGUUAUUACUGAAUAAGGCAUUCAAAACUACAGGGGAAGAAGUGAGUGGGUAUUCCGGUUAGAAGAUAGUAGUAAGACAAAAAGCCGUAUUUUGACUACAAACUGAUGAAUUCGUGAAUACUAACAUCAGAUAAGCCCACAAACUACCGAAAAGCCCGAGACACCGCUUCCGGGACGAUAGUAGAUGACAACAAAGGACCAAACAACUAUGAAUGAUAUAUUUAAAAAAGCUUCUUAACCUUUUACCGGCAACUCAACUAUUCGAAGCAAUAAAACUAGUUGAUGGACAGCAUAUUGAUCCAACGUUGAAGAAGAAGAAUUUGAAACAAAACAAGCAGAAUAGUCGCGAUAGUUUCGUGGAACGUAUUAAAUAAAGCGGCGAAUAUGCCAUAAAUGCCAUCUAUAAUCACGUCCGGAACAUCUAAAAUCAAGAAUAAAUACCAUACGAGUGGGCAAAGGAUGUCAUCUGGUCUAUUCCCAAACAAGAGAGUAAUCAGCAAUGUCAGAAUUACAGAGGUUAAUCAGCUCAUAAUAAAGGUCUUAGAACAUAAGAGACGCCAACUAAAUUAUUGGGGAGUUCCGAUCGAGAAGAUCAACAAUCGACCACCUUCUUACGGUUCUGGGAAAGUGUUGGGAAUUUAAUAUAAUCGUCCACUAAAUACUUGUGGACUUUAAGCGAGCAGUAUGAUAGUACUAGGCCAAAUAAUGCUUACUUUUGCAAUCGUAGUGAAAUUCGUCCAAUCUCCUCAAGUCAGGAUCAACAACAGUCUGCAACUAAGGCAAGUCAAUAAAUUUCCUCCACUUUUAUUCAAUCUUCUUCGGUAGAUGUUUAUUGAUAGAUACGCUGAAAACAGCGUAAAAACAAGACCAACCAGCGGGACGAUAUUAACAUCAUGUCGCGAUCCUUCACGUAUAUGAAAUGAAUUUUUAUAAACCUUGCAAAGACAGCAAAACGAGGCAAACAUAAUGAAAAUAUCGACACAAACAAGAAAAAUAAUGCCCUUCAGACAAAACAUUACAUUUGACGAAAAUAAUAUACAAACGUUUUAUCUAAUUUGGCACAUCACUGGUGCGAAAUUUUGGCGAAAUAAGAAGGCGAAUACUAGGCGCAAAUAAGGGGUUCUAACCCGUUUUGAAGGCAUACAGGAGUGGGAAGACACGCAUUGACAAAAAAUUAUAAGGCUUGGUUUUUUUCAUGCAAGCAUCUGAGGAAACGAUAAAUGAGUUUGAAAGGAGAGUUAUGAGAAGGAUUAUGAGAACUAGCGAUGAUGGAGAUCCAAGACAAAUCAGGUGCAAUCAAAGGGGCAACUGAUUAAACGCCUGUCAAUGAGUUAAACGGCUACGCCAAAUCACUUACUGACAGAGUUAACGCUAGGCAACCGUUGGCAAUGCAAUGCAAUGGUGAGAUGAAGCAGUUUGGCGCGCAACUUAUGCAGCCCAACCACAAAGGAUUUAUGUAUAUUUAUUUUUAAUUAUAAGCAUUGAUUUGAUAUUAAUUUAUUUGUAUAUGUUUUUUUUUUACGAAAAUAACUGACAAACAUGGCCAGUGGACUCUUUCCGGUGCGUCCAAAAUUCAGUACGUUCGUAUGUUUAAUCGCUCACUCCGCUCCAGUAAUGAGCAGUAUGUAUGGUUUCAUUCAACAUGACAAUACUCGAAUACCUAAAAAUGUACUCGAGUGAAGCAGUGGGAAAACCAAGGAACCGUGGAGCGGAUAUAAUAGACACUGCACUGCAUUCUGAGAGCCAAGGCCCGCUACUGACUGUAGAGCCUCAACGGACGACGACAAAGCCUGAUUUUAUAUUCCCAAUUGGGAAAGGGGAAAGCUAACAAAUAUCUGCAUUUUCCCAUUUCCAGCAUUUUGGAAGGUAGAGUUUCAUUUCUUAAUAGGAAGGCAAUGAAGUUCAAAGCAACAUUUCUAUUAAUAAGAAAAUUUGUCACAUUUAAAAACUAGUUAACCUAACAUAAACCUUAACAAUUGGCUUAAUCUAAAGUUACACUGCUAAAAUCUUAACUAAUAU